AACGAACGCUGGCGGCGUGCCUAACACAUGCAAGUCGAGCGAGAAAGCUCCUUCGGGUAGUGAGUAAAGCGGCGCACGGGUGAGUAACACGUAGGUAACCUACCCUCGAGCCUGGGAUAACCUACCGGAAAGGUGGGCUAAUACCGGGAUAUGACCACGGGAGCCACGGCUCCUGCGGUGAAAGAUGGCCUAAGCUUGCUAAGCUAUCACUUGAGGAUGGGCCUGCGCACCAUUAGCUAGUUGGCGGGGUAAUGGCCCACCAAGGCUAUGAUGGUUAGCUGGUCUGAGAGGAUGGCCAGCCACACUGGGACUGAAACACGGCCCAGACUCCGUACGGGGGGCAGCAGUGGGGGAUA
Molecule: ribosomal RNA, 356 nt
Filed under: uncultured bacterium
Lineage: Bacteria
Description: bacterial SSU rRNA
Rfam family: Bacterial small subunit ribosomal RNA
Source: RNAcentral